AGCGAACGCUGGCGGCAGGCUUAACACAUGCAAGUCGAGCGGGCCCUUCGGGGUCAGCGGCAGACGGGUGAGUAACACGUGGGAACGUACCCUUUGGUUCGGAAUAACGCUGGGAAACUAGCGCUAAUACCGGAUACGCCCUUGUGGGGGAAGGGUUGCUGCCGAAGGGGCGGGCAGAGUCUGCUUAGCUAGUUGGUGGGGUAAUGGCCUACGAAGGCGACGAGCAGUACGUGGUCUGUGAGGAUGCUCAGGGACACUGGGAGUGAGACGCGGCGCAGACUCUUGCGGGAGGGGGCAAAGCGUGAUAUAGGCCCGUGGGCCCAAGGCAGAUCCACCCCUGCCGGGUGAGCGCUGUAGGCCUUGGGGUUGUAAAGCUCUUUUGUCCGGGACUAUAAUGACGGUACCGAAAGAAUAAGCACCGGCUAACUUCGUG
This 433-nucleotide ribosomal RNA is filed under the name uncultured bacterium. Its description in RNAcentral is "partial 16S ribosomal RNA". It matches the Rfam family "Bacterial small subunit ribosomal RNA", at positions 28 to 507 of the family's 1533-position model. The record is from RNAcentral.